Molecule: long non-coding RNA, 3076 nt
Filed under: Triticum aestivum (bread wheat)
Lineage: Eukaryota; Viridiplantae; Streptophyta; Magnoliopsida; Poales; Poaceae
Description: long non-coding RNA (TAES_LNC013915)
Source: RNAcentral
AGAAAUUUCUCAUAUAUUAAAUCAACUUGGUUGCAUUACAAAGGACACGAUACAAAGAUUACAACAUGUGAAGCUAGUAGUAAUCCUACUGUUGACCUUGCAACCAACGUCUCAGCCAUUCUGAAACAUUGACACCGAAAAUAUCUGAAACAUAAUGAUUGAAACAUUGGCACUGGACAUGGAAUUCUAAGACACAAUGUGAAACUAUCUAAUAGCACUCCUAUUCUUGACCAAUAUCUGAGCCAUGCAUCAUCGAAUACAGCAAUCUACAACAAAGAAACGAAAUAGGUUAAUAGGGCAAAAAAAUUGGAAGGAGGAGCAACAUGGAAAGGUCGAAGGCAAUGUGAUAGUUAAUCUUGCUGCAUGACUAAUAAUUUUGACUCUUUUUAGUAGUUAUAAAAACUUGUAAGAUUUUGCUAAUGUAGCAUCAACGCGCAAUACCAAGAAUUCAUUACCAAGUUUAACAUCAUCAACUUUAGAUUUAUAUUCGGGGUCGAUACUUUGGAUUAAAGUAAGAGGAGCAUUGUUGUUCGGAUGUGUCCAGUAUAAUAUUUGUAGCUAACAAUAGUCAUUUUAGCUUACAGUACACUAACUCAGCCUGUUUCAUUAGUAAGUUUCACCCUGUUAACAGAAACAAAGUGUUUUAUAGGGGUGGGAAAAUGUAAGGCAGGCAUAAAGUAGUUGAUGAAUUGUUUAACCUAAUCUAACCGAAAUGAGUCUUAUCUCACAGAAGCAGUGUUCUCUUGUACAAAUUAGGUAGGAAAAAAAAGAGAAGCAUGUGUAAGAUAAUAAAAUGUAGUCAAGUAAUGCUAUUAAUACUCCAAACUUUCCAUUCGAUCUGGUGAAGAAUCAUUCACGCAAUAUAGAACUACUAUCAGAAAAUACCUCCUAGUAAAUCCAGCUUGGCACUAAUAUGUUUUAGCGCCAGCAACAUCGACUUGGAACAAUCUAGUCUCUGUAACCUGCUGAUUUGGCAUAUGCAUUAGUAAUCUAUGUUCGGUUGUGCUCACUGAAUCGAUGGCAUCAAAAUAGCCGAACACAUGUGUACGAAAAAUUUAGCGUACUCUUUAUUCUUUUAUAUCAGAACUCUUACAUAAGCUUGCUUUUUUACGGAAAAACUCUUGCACGACCUGGUUCCAUGAUAUGACCUGCUACAUGGCCAAAGCAAUCCAAACCUACGCUGACUUAAUAGCAUCUAGAACGACUCAGACUGCAGUGCCCUUUUACUAGACUAGUAAGGCAUGCUGAGUCCAAGACAUACUAGUACAGCAUGUAGGCUACUAGCUAUGCAAACUCAUUGAACCAUAUAUGGACUACAGAACACAAAUGCUUACGACAUGCAAACGAGACAUGUUGGAAAACUAACUAAUCAACCUAUCAAAAUUAGACUCAAACUUGGCUAGUUAAACUAGCAUGGACACCUACCAAACUACUUAAAAUGAUUCUAACAAUUUAGAAGACCACACCAUUAGUGCAGUGCCAGGCUGCCAACGUAUCAGUAUAUGCCAACAUUUACUAAAUAGGUUUCGCUUUCUUAGUUCACUUGUUUACCGAGAACAUGGAAACUUAGAGCAGUUCCAGUAUGCUCUUCUUUGUCACCAUGGUUGCCGGAUGCUCAAACUGUUGGCCUGAAUAGGUAGAGGAGAAGGUUCUAAGUAUUACAGAGAAGAGGAGAUCCUAGUAAGAUCCAAUAGUUUGGGAUCAGUGAAUUCGACGUACCUGACACACUUGCACAGUCGCCGUAUCUGAUCGCUUAGGUGUCUGUUUAUGCUUGUUAGUAACAUCCCACCACCAUAGUGUGCCUGUAUGUCAGGGAAGCAGAGUGCACAAGAGGAAUAAGUUUGACAGUUUAAGGAGAAUAUGUUACAAACAAGAUAAGAUGUGAGAGGCACCUGGCCAAGAGUUUGUGUGCUGACCAAUCAUGCAUCAUUCUAUCUUUGGAAACGUCUGUGGCUCCCCACAAAAUACAAAUUAGUACAGAGAUUGCAGGAAUUCAGAAGUACCCGUAUUUCCAAAAAAAAUGCACUGAACUUGAUUUAAAGGUGAGAUUUCAAUAAUAUGAGUCAAAUACAUAUGACGAGAAUAUCAAGGUACGAUGUUCUUGUAACUCACGUUCAAAAUUUAUCAAUUAUUUAACAGUUUAUAUUGGAUAACAUGAGUGUAAGAAUUAUUUCCAUCUGAGCUUUUGCAUAAAGUUAGAGAUUGAGGUGUGCACAUUUUUACUGAAUAAGAAGCUGAAACUAAUAUAACUUUUUGUAGGGGAAAACAAAUAUUACAUCAACCGAAAAGAUAGAAUAAGAUACAAAUUCACGUUUUCCUUACUGUAACAUGAACUAGCGAAAACAUCCUCACCAUGCUAUACACAAAUGACUAAAAUAAUUCUCAAGGCUUCUUUUGCAUAUUCAUGGAUUCUCCGGAUUGCAAUGCGUAAGUGUUGUAGAUCGAUCUGUUAAGAAACAGCAGAUGCACACACAUAGUAAAAGACAAUAUCAGAACUUGUGAGUGUAGAUGGAAUAAAUGAUUAUAGAAUAAAGACAAAUAUUGGGACGAACGGAUGCAAGUAGGACUUAUUUAAUUAAUAUAUUGUACAUUUAACACCAAAUAAAUAACGAUUUAGUGUAUUGAGAAGGGGAUUCUCAAUUCGAAAUAAUUAUGCUAGUAUCAUGGACCCAUAAUUGCACUUACAUGAUGAUUUUUGUAGCAAUAUUCUUCAGUGACAUACAUGGUCGCAUAUGGUAUAUCGCUGAUACACUAUCUCACUCUAAUUUGAACCAAGUUGAUUUUUUUAAUAAGAAGACACUGCGUUGAUCUUAUUGAACAGGUCAUGCUCAUUGCUAGUAUAUACUACUAAUCCAAGAACGCAUAUCAUAUGAAUAGUAAAGUCUAACCAUAACGCAUGACAGAGUACUACCCAUCCAGAAUUAGUACAGAUUGACAUAUGGUGAAUCAGAUCUAAUAAAAAAACACCAGUACCAGACAUGUCAACUUCGGAGGUAGAAGAGGCAGAUUACCAUGUCAAGCCCAAGCCGGCUGCCGUGCGUGAGGUGAUGCAAGGGUACUGGGCGAUAAAACGGAG